ACGAACGCUGGCGGCGUGCUUAACACAUGCAAGUCGUACGGUAAGGCCCUUUCGGGGGUACACGAGUGGCGAACGGGUGAGUAACACGUGAGUAACCUGCCCACAACUUUGGGAUAACGCUAGGAAACUGGUGCUAAUACUGGAUAUGUGCUCCUGCUGCAUGGUGGGGGUUGGAAAGCUCCGGCGGUUGUGGAUGGACUCGCGGCCUAUCAGCUUGUUGGUGGGGUAGUGGCCUACCAAGGCGGCGACGGGUAGCCGGCCUGAGAGGGUGACCGGCCACAUUGGGACUGAGAGACGGCCCAGACUCCUACGGGAGGCAGCAGUGGGGAAUAUUGCACAAUGGGCGCAAGCCUGAUGCAGCAACGCCGCGGGCGGGAGGACGGCCUUCGGGUUGUAAACCGCUUUCAGCAGGGACGAAGCUUUUUGUGACGGUACCUGCAGAAGAAGCACCGGCUAACUACGUG
RNAcentral lists this ribosomal RNA (464 nucleotides) under uncultured bacterium. RNAcentral describes it as "partial 16S ribosomal RNA". It matches the Rfam family "Bacterial small subunit ribosomal RNA", at positions 29 to 507 of the family's 1533-position model. The record is from RNAcentral.